RNAcentral lists this ribosomal RNA (497 nucleotides) under uncultured bacterium. Its description in RNAcentral is "partial 16S ribosomal RNA". It matches the Rfam family "Bacterial small subunit ribosomal RNA", at positions 28 to 507 of the family's 1533-position model. The record is from RNAcentral.
GAUGAACGCUGGCGGCGUGCCUAAUACAUGCAAGUCGAGCGAACAGACGAGGAUCUUGCUCCGCUGACGUUUGCGGCGGACGGGUGAGUAACACGUGUAUAACCUACCUGUAAGACUGAUAUCACUUCGAGAAACCGGAGCUAAUACCGUAUAAGAUAUUGAUCCGCAUUGUGCAAUAGUGAAAUACGGUGUUUCUGUCACUUAUAGAUGGUUCCGCGCCGCAUUAGCUGGUUGUUAAGGUAACGGCUUACCAAGGCAACGAUGCGUAGACGAACUAAGAGGGGGAUAGCCGACAUUGGAAGGUAGACACGGUCAAGACGCCUACGGGAGGCAGCAGUAGGCAAUCUUCCGCAACGGGGGAAAGCAUGACGGAGCAACGCGGAGCGAGUGACGAAGGUGCUCGGAUCGUAAAAAUCUGUUACUAGGGAAGAACAACUGUGUCAGUAAACAUGGAGGUAGUGACGGUAACUAAUAAGAAAGCAACGGCUAACUACGUG